RNAcentral lists this long non-coding RNA (224 nucleotides) under Lathyrus oleraceus (garden pea). Its description in RNAcentral is "Pisum sativum (pea) long non-coding RNA (PSAT_LNC013086)". The record is from RNAcentral. Lineage: Eukaryota; Viridiplantae; Streptophyta; Magnoliopsida; Fabales; Fabaceae.
UUGAACCCCGAGAUUUCUGAUAAUCGCUUUUUUUUUCAUUUUCUUGAACCCCGAAAUUUUCUUCUGCACAAAUGAUCCUCAAAUCACUACAUUUGAACCCCGCUCCCCUAUUUGCCAAAUAAUGAACCCCAUUCUCCGGUUUGAACCCCAGUCGCCUGACGAUAACUCACGAUCGCCAUUGUGAACCCCGUUCUCCAGAAAAUGCCGCAACAUCUCCCUUUCUC